AAACGUAGGUCACAAGCGUUGUCCGGAAUUACUGGGUGUAAAGGGAGCGCAGGCGGGGAGAUAAGUUGGGAGUGAAAACUAUGGGCUCAACCCAUAAAUUGCUUUCAAAACUAUCUUUCUUGAGUAGUGCAGAGGUAGGCGGAAUUCCCGGUGUAGCGGUGGAAUGCGUAGAUAUCGGGAGGAACACCAGUGGCGAAGGCGGCCUACUGGGCACCAACUGACGCUGAGGCUCGAAAGUAUGGGUAGC
Molecule: ribosomal RNA, 247 nt
Filed under: uncultured bacterium
Lineage: Bacteria
Description: partial 16S ribosomal RNA
Rfam family: Bacterial small subunit ribosomal RNA
Source: RNAcentral